Molecule: ribosomal RNA, 252 nt
Filed under: uncultured bacterium
Lineage: Bacteria
Description: partial 16S ribosomal RNA
Rfam family: Bacterial small subunit ribosomal RNA
Source: RNAcentral
UACGGGGGGGCAAGCGUUGUUCGGAAUUACUGGGCGUAAAGGGCUCGUAGGCGGCCAACUAAGUCAGACGUGAAAUCCCUCGGCUUAACCGGGGAACUGCGUCUGAUACUGGAUGGCUUGAAUCCGGGAGAGGGAUGCGGAGUUCCAGGUGUAGCGGUGAAAUGCGUAGAUAUCUGGAGGAACACCGGUGGCGAAGGCGGCAUCCUGGACCGGUAUUGACGCUGAGGAGCGAAAGCCAGGGGAGCAAACGGG